UGCCAGCCGCCGCGGUAAUACGGAGGGGGCUAACGUUAUCCGGAAUUACUGGGCUUAAAGGGUUCGUAGGCGGUUUUGUAAGUCAGGGGUGAAAGUCGGUGGCCCAACCAUCGAAUUGCCUUUGAUACUGCAUCACUUGAGUGUGUUAGGGGAGAGCGGAACGUGUAGUGUAGCGGUGAAAUGCGUAGAUAUUACACGGAAGGCCGGAGCCGAAGGGGGCUCUCUGGGACACAACUGACGCUGAGGAACGAAAGCGUGGGGAGCAAACAGGAUUAGAUA
Molecule: ribosomal RNA, 279 nt
Filed under: uncultured bacterium
Lineage: Bacteria
Description: partial 16S ribosomal RNA
Rfam family: Bacterial small subunit ribosomal RNA
Source: RNAcentral